RNAcentral lists this ribosomal RNA (329 nucleotides) under uncultured Chloroflexota bacterium. RNAcentral's name for it is "bacterial SSU rRNA". It matches the Rfam family "Bacterial small subunit ribosomal RNA", at positions 28 to 351 of the family's 1533-position model. The record is from RNAcentral. Lineage: Bacteria; Bacillati; Chloroflexota.
GAUGAACGCUGGCGGCGUGCCUAAUACAUGCAAGUCGAACGAGGUGCUUUUGUAGCAAUACGGAAGUAUCCUAGUGGCGAACGGGUGAGUAACGCGUUGGUGACCUGUCCCAAAGUGUGGGAUAACAGUCCGAAAGGAUUGCUAAUACCGCAUGUGGUCCCCGGGUUUAGAAACCGGUGACUAAAGGAGCAAUUCGCUUUGGGAGGACCUGCGUCCCAUCAGCUAGUUGGUGAGGUAAUGGCUCACCAAGGCGACGACGGGUAGGGGACCUGAGAGGGUGGCCCCCCACAAUGGAACUGAAACACGGUCCAUACACCUACGGGAGGCAG